Long non-coding RNA from Cryptomeria japonica (Japanese cedar), 486 nucleotides. RefSeq lists it as uncharacterized. The record is from RefSeq and is a predicted model, not a curated record. The transcript is spliced from 3 exons. Lineage: Eukaryota; Viridiplantae; Streptophyta; Pinopsida; Cupressales; Cupressaceae.
GUUUAAAAUACAAACGUCCGCGCUGUCAAAUCAAGAAAAGAGGGAAAAAGUUCAGAAAACAAAUUAAACGAAAAUACACAUUUGAAGUCCGCAAGGUGGAAAAAAAUUUAAAGAAAACAAAUCAAACGGAAAAACCAUGUCCCGCACCGAAGAAGAAUUCAGUGAGAAGAUCCAUGACUCUUUGCUUUGUAAUUCCUGAAGCUUCCAAAGGCUCGGAAGACGUGCACGAUGAAGAAGACUACCUGUACACUCAUGGCAUUGUUGAACUGGACUCGCUUUCGGCUUUGAUGAUCAUGUGCACGGUUUGAACUGCUGCAGACUGUCACUUGGGCAUUUCAGACAACGUAUAAAGGUCUGUCCGCGCACUGUCUUUUGGCGAAUACUUGGCUGAUAUGCGCAACAUAGCAGCUUCACUAUGUCUAAAUCGCUGCUCUCGUAAGCUUUGAACAGAGGCGUUUCUCCAAGCUUAUUGCGAACAUUCACACC